AUAUUAUGCAUUUUAGUCCUACUAAUAUUUAAGUGUUUUUAGCAUUGUGUUAGUAUACAUUGAAUAUAUCAUAGUUCAUUUGUAAAAUUAAAAGAUAAAAAAAUAUGACUAAAAUUUUCAAAUUUAUUUAUGUUAUAAUUUUGUUUUUGUCCAUAUUCCUUCUUCCAGCGAAAGCUAUCGUUCCAUGUCAAACUGUUGAAGAUUGUUCAAUGAUCUAUACUAAAGGGACUAAGUUUAACGGGAAAAUGUUUGAUAGCAUUCUCCUGUGUAAACGUAACGUAUGUCUUUUGGUUGUGUUGUUAUAAGAAACAAAUAUAAAAAUAAACUAUGAAUAAUAUAUUUAUAUAUGAUUAUAAAUAUUUUCAAUUUUUAUUAAAUAUAUAUAUUUUAUGCAUGCA
Molecule: long non-coding RNA, 398 nt
Organism: Vicia villosa (hairy vetch)
Lineage: Eukaryota; Viridiplantae; Streptophyta; Magnoliopsida; Fabales; Fabaceae
Exons: 2
Source: RefSeq, a predicted model, not a curated record